GCGCGAAAAUACGUUGUAUUAAUAAACAAUAAUAAUUUCUAUCGUCGUCAAAAAUUAUAGUGUUACAUGGAGAUUAAAAUCAUAAUAUUGUCGCCUUUUGCGGUGUCAAGUGUCGCAAGCAGAAACAUUUUUACUUCAACCCUUGUAAGUCAGAUAAUUAAAUUGAGUCGACUGAGAAUAGUGGAUAACAGCGAGGCAAACUAUGAUGGAGGGUAGACCAUCAUAUUGCAUAUACAUGUACAAUAAGUGCGGGGGUGGAAUACAUCGGUGAUAGAAUUUUAAUUGCUAUAAGAGGCAAAAAGAAAAAGGGUAUAUUGAAGGGUUGGAUUGAAACAGCAACAGGUCCUUAAAGUUCUCAAAUUUGAUAGCAACAAUCUGGUACUCAUAGACGAUAACGGCACAUCUCUAGAUACAAGAAUAUAGGUGCCUAUAUUCCAUACAUACUCCUAACGAAAAUGAAAAAAGACUGACAGCAAAGGAGCAGAUUAUAUUAAAUUAAUAACGAUUGCAACCAGAUUAGUAUGGUGUAUCUAUCUUGCUAACUAUUGUAAUAUAUAUUAAAUAUUUUUAUGAAAUGUUAAUAUUAUACUUAUUCAGUAUUUUCCACAAAACUUAUAAUAUGGUGUAUUACUCAUGC
Acromyrmex echinatior (Panamanian leafcutter ant) is the source of this 637-nucleotide long non-coding RNA. RefSeq lists it as uncharacterized. NCBI's taxonomy places the organism in Eukaryota, Metazoa, Arthropoda, Insecta, Hymenoptera, Formicidae. The record is from RefSeq and is a predicted model, not a curated record.